GAUGAACGCUGGCGGCGUGCUUAACACAUGCAAGUCGAACGAAGCACCUUAUUCUGAUUUCUUCGGAAUGAAAAAUUUGGUGACUGAGUGGCGGACGGGUGAGUAACGCGUGGGUAACCUGCCUCAUACAGGGGGAUAACAGUUAGAAAUGACUGCUAAUACCGCAUAAGACCACAGCACCGCAUGGUGCAGGGGUAAAAACUCCGGUGGUAUGAGAUGGACCCGCGUCUGAUUAGGUAGUUGGUGGGGUAACGGCCUACCAAGCCGACGAUCAGGAGCCGACCUGAGAGGGUGACCGGCCACAUUGGGACUGAGACACGGCCCAAACUCCUACGGGAGGCAGCAGUGGGGAAUAUUGCACAAUGGGGGAAACCCUGAUGCAGCGACGCCGCGUGAGCGAUGAAGUAUUUCGGUAUGCAAAGCUCUAUCAGCAGGGAAGAAAAUGACGGUACCUGACUAAGAAGCACCGGCUAAAUACGUGCCAGCAGCCGCCGCCG
RNAcentral lists this ribosomal RNA (497 nucleotides) under uncultured bacterium. Its description in RNAcentral is "partial 16S ribosomal RNA". It matches the Rfam family "Bacterial small subunit ribosomal RNA", at positions 28 to 523 of the family's 1533-position model. The record is from RNAcentral.